AGUGAACGCUGGCGGUAGGCCUAACACAUGCAAGUCGAACGGCAGCACAGUAAGAGCUUGCUCUUACGGGUGGCGAGUGGCGGACGGGUGAGGAAUACAUCGGAAUCUACUUUUUCGUGGGGGAUAACGUAGGGAAACUUACGCUAAUACCGCAUACGACCUACGGGUGAAAGCAGGGGAUCUUCGGACCUUGCGCGAUUGAAUGAGCCGAUGUCGGAUUAGCUAGUUGGCGGGGUAAAGGCCCACCAAGGCGACGAUACGUAGCUGGUCUGAGAGGAUGAUCAGCCACACUGGAACUGAGACACGGUCCAGACUCCCACGGGAGGCAGCAGUGGGGAAUAUUGGACAAUGGGCGCAAGCCUGAUCCAGCCAUACCGCGUGGGUGAAGAAGGCCUUCGGGUUGUAAAGCCCUUUUGUUGGGAAAGAAAAGCAGCAGGUUAAUACCCCGCUGUUCUGACGGUACCCAAAGAAUAAGCACCGGCUAACUUCGUG
RNAcentral lists this ribosomal RNA (492 nucleotides) under uncultured bacterium. RNAcentral describes it as "partial 16S ribosomal RNA". It matches the Rfam family "Bacterial small subunit ribosomal RNA", at positions 29 to 507 of the family's 1533-position model. The record is from RNAcentral.